UAUUGUUGUUGUUGUUUGUUGUUAACUUGAGACAAGGCAGGAGAUAUUAUUUGUUAUUUAUUAUUUAAAAGGACAGGCAGGAGUAUUGUUGUUGUUGUUAUUGGAGACAGGCAGGAGUAUUGUUGUUGUGAUUGGAGACAGGCAGGAGUAUUGUUGUUGUUAUUGGAGACAGGCAGUAUUGUUAUUAGGGAACAGAGUGGUAUU
Molecule: long non-coding RNA, 204 nt
Filed under: Papio anubis (olive baboon)
Lineage: Eukaryota; Metazoa; Chordata; Mammalia; Primates; Cercopithecidae
Description: lncRNA (ENSPANG00000039603.1)
Source: RNAcentral